CCUACGGGGUGCAGCAGUGGGGGAUAUUGCACAAUGGGGGGAACCCUGAUGCAGCGACGCCGCGUGGGUGAAGAAGCGCCUCGGCGCGUAAAGCCCUGUCAGCAGGGAAGAAAAUGACGGUACCUGAAGAAGAAGCCCCGGCCAAAUACGUGCCAGCAGCCGCGGUAAUACGUAGGGGGCAAGCGGUAUCCGGUUUUACUGGGUGGAAAGGGGGCGCAGACGGCGAUGCAAGCCAGGAGCGAAAGCCCGGGGCCCAACCCCGGGACUGCUCUGGGAACUGCGUGGCUGGAGUGCAGGAGGGGCAGGCGGAAUUCCUGGUGUAGCGGUGAAAUGCGUAGAUAUCAGGAGGAACACCGGUGGCGAAGGCGGCCUGCUGGACUGAAACUGACGUUGAGGCCCGAAAGCGUGGGGAGCAAACAGGAUUAGAUACCCCAGUAGUC
This 440-nucleotide ribosomal RNA is filed under the name uncultured bacterium. RNAcentral's name for it is "partial 16S ribosomal RNA". It matches the Rfam family "Bacterial small subunit ribosomal RNA", at positions 338 to 795 of the family's 1533-position model. The record is from RNAcentral.